CUUGCUUCUCUUGAGAGCGGCGGACGGGUGAGUAAUGCCUAGGAAUCUGCCUGGUAGUGGGGGAUAACGUUCGGAAACGGACGCUAAUACCGCAUACGUCCUACGGGAGAAAGCAGGGGACCUUCGGGCCUUGCGCUAUCAGAUGAGCCUAGGUCGGAUUAGCUAGUUGGUGGGGUAAUGGCUCACCAAGGCGACGAUCCGUAACUGGUCUGAGAGGAUGAUCAGUCACACUGGAACUGAGACACGGUCCAGACUCCUACGGGAGGCAGCAGUGGGGAAUAUUGGACAAUGGGCGAAAGCCUGAUCCAGCCAUGCCGCGUGUGUGAAGAAGGUCUUCGGAUUGUAAAGCACUUUAAGUUGGGAGGAAGGGUUGUAGAUUAAUACUCUGCAAUUUUGACGUUACCGACAGAAUAAGCACCGGCUAACUCUGUGCCAGCAGCCGCGGUAAUACAGAGGGUGCAAGCGUUAAUCGGAAUUACUGGGCGUAAAGCGCGCGUAGGUGGUUUGUUAAGUUGGAUGUGAAAUCCCCGGGCUCAACCUGGGAACUGCAUUCAAAACUGACUGACUAGAGUAUGGUAGAGGGUGGUGGAAUUUCCUGUGUAGCGGUGAAAUGCGUAGAUAUAGGAAGGAACACCAGUGGCGAAAGCGACCACCUGGACUAAUACUGACACUGAGGUGCGAAAGCGUGGGGAGCAAACAGGAUUAGAUACCCUGGUAGUCCACGCCGUAAACGAUGUCAACUAGCCCGUUGGAAGCCUUGAGCUUUUA
RNAcentral lists this ribosomal RNA (768 nucleotides) under uncultured bacterium. Its description in RNAcentral is "bacterial SSU rRNA". It matches the Rfam family "Bacterial small subunit ribosomal RNA", at positions 79 to 842 of the family's 1533-position model. The record is from RNAcentral.